UCACAGGUUAGAGCGUGGUCGGUGUCCAGAAAGCAUGUUGGAGCCGGGGUGAACCGCUGGGCCUUCUCGGGAACCAUGUGCAGACACGUGCGCCCUUCAAUCUCCUGACCUCUAGGGGUUUGUUGGGCAGAAGCUAGACUUUGAAUGAACCAGGAUGAAUCUGGCUGUGGGAAGGGACUGGUCGGAAUUUCCUAUGGGUCUGGGAGCUGUGUGAAUGCAGUGUGCUGAUAGCACCUUGGCUUGGUUCAGGAUGUCCUGUAUGUAACAGUUUCUUAACUGGACUUGGAAUACAAGAGAAGGCUUCUUGAAAGGAAGACUGGCUGACCCUUUGUUCUCCUGAAAGCAAAGCAUUCUGGCUGAAGCAGUUCCAGAAGGUUAUUGUGCAUGCAGCUUGAGUACAAAAGGCUGUACCCAUUUCUUAGAGGAGGCAAUUAUUAGACCUUGGUGAAAUUUCUCAUGUGGCAGCCUUCCUACCUGGAAAAAGAAAAUAAAAUCUUUAAAGUCAAAAUGCUAUUGUGUUUGGC
Nycticebus coucang (slow loris) is the source of this 524-nucleotide long non-coding RNA. RefSeq lists it as uncharacterized. The record is from RefSeq and is a predicted model, not a curated record. The transcript has 4 exons. Lineage: Eukaryota; Metazoa; Chordata; Mammalia; Primates; Lorisidae.